RNAcentral lists this small nuclear RNA (63 nucleotides) under Cebus imitator (Panamanian white-faced capuchin). Its description in RNAcentral is "U7 small nuclear RNA (ENSCCAG00000009308.1)". It matches the Rfam family "U7 small nuclear RNA". Rfam says of the family: Animal histone pre-mRNAs are spliced by a different mechanism than nuclear pre-mRNAs and self-splicing introns. The record is from RNAcentral. Lineage: Eukaryota; Metazoa; Chordata; Mammalia; Primates; Cebidae.
AAGUGUUACAGCUCUUUUAGAAUUUGUCUAGCAGGCUUUUCAGGUUUUGACAGAAAACCCUCU